Molecule: long non-coding RNA, 252 nt
Organism: Ipomoea nil (Japanese morning glory)
Lineage: Eukaryota; Viridiplantae; Streptophyta; Magnoliopsida; Solanales; Convolvulaceae
Exons: 2
Source: RefSeq, a predicted model, not a curated record
GUCGACCCAGGCGAGAGCGUAUGUUUGCAUUCGGCGGAGGUUAGCGCUUGGCGCCUUCAGACCUUGAGCAGAGAUCAAGUGAAUCUCCAGAAUAAAUUCAUCAAGAAACGGAAGAUGGGACCUUUGUGACUUCUGAGGGAUUGGAGUAGGCGACUAGGCGAGCGAAGAAAGUGAAAUGUGGAAACGCUGCGCUCUUUGGUCUGCAAUAAGCGGGGAAUGCGGAAGAGUAGCACUGUAGCACAAGAAAGAAAG